UACAGAGUAGCUCAGUUGGUUAGAGCAGUUCCUUCAUACGGAUCAGGUCAUGAGUUCGAAUCUCAUCUCUGUAA
Molecule: transfer RNA, 74 nt
Filed under: Eubacterium sp.
Lineage: Bacteria; Bacillati; Bacillota; Clostridia; Eubacteriales; Eubacteriaceae
Also listed under: 1 other name
Description: tRNA-Met
Rfam family: tRNA
About the family: Transfer RNA (tRNA) molecules are approximately 80 nucleotides in length. Their secondary structure includes four short double-helical elements and three loops (D, anti-codon, and T loops).
Source: RNAcentral